Molecule: ribosomal RNA, 292 nt
Filed under: uncultured bacterium
Lineage: Bacteria
Description: partial 16S ribosomal RNA
Rfam family: Bacterial small subunit ribosomal RNA
Source: RNAcentral
GUGCCAGCCGCCGCGGUAAUACAGAGGUCCCAAGCGUUGUUCGGAUUCACUGGGCGUAAAGGGUGCGUAGGCGGUCGGGUAAGUCUGAUGUGAAAUCUCCGAGCUCAACUCGGAAAUGGCAUUGGAUACUAUUCGGCUAGAGAAUCGGAGGGGGGACUGGAAUACUUGGUGUAGCAGUGAAAUGCGUAGAUAUCAAGUGGAACACCAGUGGCGAAGGCGAGUCCCUGGACGAUUUCUGACGCUGAGGCACGAAAGCUAGGGGAGCAAACAGGAUUAGAAACCCCUGUAGUCC